RNA transcript from Macrobrachium nipponense, 5687 nucleotides. It is a transcript of the gene named ubiquitin-fold modifier 1, with no coding region annotated. The transcript has 5 exons. The record is from RefSeq and is a predicted model, not a curated record. Lineage: Eukaryota; Metazoa; Arthropoda; Malacostraca; Decapoda; Palaemonidae.
CUUUGGACCACCCGUGAAAGGGUUUUAUUAAUCUAAUAAUCUGGGAAGUAGAAAAUUACCCUUUUAAAAAAGAUCGUGUUGUGAUAGCUAAUCUAAAGUACGACAACUUUCCCUCAAAGUAUAAUGAUUUCUUUUUGAGGUCUUCUUCCCCGAUCAACAACACGUUUGUGUGACCUGUCAAACCUAAACCAUCAUGACAUCAAAAGUUACUUUCAAGAUCACCCUGACUUCAGAUCCCAAACUUCCAUACAAAGUAUGAUCAAACAAAAUUAGACAUAGAGUCCUGAACCUUGAGUUGAAGAUUCAUUAAGAAGAGUGCCUGAAAAAGACCACACAUACUAGGUCAUGAAGAUUUGCCCUUCUUACCAGACAAAAGACCUGCAGUAGCUUGAAACAACAUAAUGAAUAGAUUGGCAGUUUAGACAUGUACACUACAUAAUUUUGUGGUAUUUUUAUGAUGCAGAGGAAGUUCUGAAUAAUGUUUAAAUAAGAAUUAUUGCACAAAGAAAGUGAGAGCUUCAGCAAGAUGAAUAUCUCAUGAGUGUUUAUUACACUGAGUCAUAAUUUAGUUAUAGUUUCCCAGAAAAGUUUGAUGAUGAACUAAGUAGCUUUGCCGAUAUUGAGAGAAGUAACCUGGGGUAAUCAUGUGGAAAGUGGUUGUGAAAAAUAUCUUGUACUUCAUGCAUGACUUGUUGCCAGCAGCUUAUAGUCAAGGUCACUGGACAGAAGAUGCCAUUAACCGGGCUGUAUCUUGGGGUGAAUAUUGUGAGAAAGCUGUAAGACACUGCUCUCAGGAUGGGAGCAUUCACAUUGCCCUUCAAAACAUGGCAGAAAAAUAUGAUUGGGUUCUUUCUCUGCAUCAGUUACAGAGUGCACGUCUAUAUUUCUUUAGUUUCAUUUUGCAAAAUCAGUUGAUUGAAAAAAGAUUGGCAGACUACGUAAAUGAAAAAGUUAUUGAAGCAUUUGGUGCUGACCAUAACCUUAAUGUGUUGGCUAAACAGCAAUUAGAGUACCAUAAGAAAGUAAUGGAUCACCUAAGUAAAUAUGAUGAAAAGGUGCACUCAAGAUAUCAGGUGGAAAUUGAACAGUUAGCUGGGGUGAGACCAAUUGGGAUUGAUGGAAAUAGAAGGCAAAAUCAGUAAAAUUGGAAACCCAAGGGUCAUGGCAAAAAACCUGAAAUUGUGUUAACUUUGUCACACAAGGUUCACUGUAGGAGGUAACCUCCUGCAAGGACAGCUGAUAUGGGAUAUAAGCAAUUUAACUUUGUACUUUAUAUUUGCCUUUUGGAAAACCAAGAGUUCUUUGAUUUAAUUACGAACUUAACACAGAUUAACUUAUGUUGACUUUCGUGUUGGUUAGUCGAGGAUGUUAAUAAACUCAGUUAGUGGUAUAUGCUGUAAUGUACUUUUGAGUCAUAACUAACAAAGUUAUUGAUAUGAAUGCUGUAUAGGAAUGAUACUGUAAAGCACUCCAAAUAAACUUUUGAGUAACAUUUCUAGAUACCAGACGAGAAUACUACCUAUCCAGAUUCUAAUGAGGUUGGCCCAAAAUAUUUAUUUUAAAUGGUUUUGAUAAUUAGGGCAUGUUCAUGUUAAAGAAGCUGGAGAACUUUAGAAAAAUUACAGUAUGUACUGUACUGUAAAAGCAAGGUAGUAGAGAACAACAUGAAUAGAUUUAAAAGUAAAUAGAAGAAAGUAAUGAAGUUGGAAGCAGAAAGUAUGCCAUAAGGCACUCUUUAGAUGCUACCCUCAUGCAGGGUAAAUGAAUGGCAAAAUUUAGAAUGGGUAAAAGUUGAAUUAUCUGGUAACUGAAUAUGAAAGAAAUCAAUUAAGUGUGAAAAACAGCAAGCAGAUCAGGUAUAUAUGUACUUAGUAUAUCUUUGUUGGGACAAGCUCAUUUUAAUAUCUGUUGGAAAAGUCUUUGCUCAACCUUGAACCAAGUGUUUAGACCUAAAGGUAUGGAUCUUUCUUUGUCGAUAGAGUCAUCCGUGUACACAUUGAGCUCUCAGCAGUCUUGCUCUCCUCAGGGACUUAGUCGUCUGAGUGAUAUGUUACUCAUUCUCUGCAGUCUAACGCAGGUGCCUCGGACCAGUAGUUCAUACUCAAAAUUGUCUUCCUACUUGUGUAUCUGGGUUUAUCCUCAGUAAUCCCACCCUUUGCAGGUUGGAUUUCUCAUUUGUUCCUGAAUUUAUGGCAAGAACUUGGGACCUGUUGGUCUCUCUUGAUAUGAGAAUUUCUCAGUCCCCUCCCUCAGGGACUUCAUUGAUGGUGAGCUGGACAAAAUACUCUUGUGCCUAGUAUGAGCCUUAAGGUACUACAGUGCAUCCUCGACUUAUGGUGAUUUGAUCUUAUGAUGCAUUUUUAGUGCUUUAACGUCUUUUUACUGUGUCAUAACUUCAUGUUGCAUCAAUUUACUGUGCCGUAAGCACUGAUGACAGUGCUAACGGCCAGAAUAGGCAUAAAUUUAGUAAUGCCAAAAAUGUCAUGGCACUGUAAGCGCCAGUAAUGGUGAAAAACGGCUUAUGUUGGAAAUCAACUUGAAGGUGUGGGGCUGGAACAGAGCCCCCGCUAAAAGUCAAGGAUGCACUGUACAGUAGUACCUCGAGAUACGAAAGGCUCUACUUACGAAAAACUCAAGAUACGAAAGCCAAUGCGAAAAAUUUUACUGCUCUACAUACGAAAAGUUUUCAAGAUACGAAAGGUUGUUGCUGUAAAGUCACGAGAUUCGCCCUGACCACCGAGAACAAUUUUAAAACUCCCACGCCGCCAACUGAGUAAACUCGCCACCAUCCUUCCGCUCUCCCAUUGGUUCCUGAUGCUAGUCACCCCAUAAGGUCCUGCUCUCCUAUUGGUCAGCAUCUACCCCUUGUGCUUUAAGUAUUCUAUUGGUAAAAGGAUGCUGUAAAUUGAAAAAAUUAUUCAUGCAAUACAUUUAAUAAAAAAAAAUAUUAGGUAAAGAUAGAAUAAAGAAUAGAAAUGAAUGGUUAUUAUACUAUUUGGUAGUUUCAGUAGUUGAAGAGAGAUAAUGAAAAUUUAAGACUUACUGUGUAAAGUGAUUGCUUGUCGAUCGUUCGAUACUCGUAAGUGCUGGAUGUAAACAGACGUUUGGAAGCUUUUUUCUUGUUUGUUUAUUAUAGUUAAUGGUUACUUAAUAAUUAUUUGAAAUGAGUACAUGCAAUACAUUUAAUAAAAAAAUUGUGAAUUAGAUAUAAAAUAUAAAAUAAAUCAGACUGCCAACAAAUAUAUUACAUAUUUUUUAGAAUUCUUCUUCUGUUUUUUUAUUACGUUACGUAUACAUAUGUUUCAUUAUAGCUGUCAGUAACUCGGUAUCUCCAUUAGGUAAAGAUAGAAUAAAGAAUAGAAAUGAAUGGUUAUUAUACUGUUUGGUAGUUUCAUUAGUUGAAGAGAGAUACUAAUGACAAUUUAUGGCUUACUGUGUGCUAGGAAAAAGAAUUGCUUGGCGCUCGUUCGAUACUCGUAAGACGGGUAAGAGCUGAAUGUAAACAAUUGAUUGGAAGGUUUGUUUUUUGUUUGUUUGUGUAUUAUUAGUUAAUGAUUGAUUAAUAAUUAUUUGAAAUGAGUACAUACUGAUUAUUUAUACAUUUUAUUGGCAUAUUCUAAGCUUUUAGCUCUUAGGUUUAGAUGUCAGAAUCAUAGACUAGGCUACAGUAGCAACCGCUAACAUAGGCUAGGCUUAUUGCUAAGGGACAUAUGCUAAAGUCCUAAUAUAUGCAGUUAAAAUGGGGUUGAACAUUACAUGCAGUUGAAUAUUACUCAAGUAUGUACAGUAUUUUGCCUUUUUGGAAUCAUAUUUCUUCCGUUGGAUUGGCGUUGUAACCCUAGAACAUGUGUUUUAGGCCUGGAAAUAUAAUUUAAAGGGUGUUUUUGGAUGGCUUGGAACGGUUUAGCCAUUUUACAUGUAAAAUGUGUUCCAAGAUACGAAAAACUCAUAAUACGAAGGCCGCCUCGGAACGGAUUAAUUUCGUAUCUCGAGGUACCACUGUAUCUUAAAAGGACACCUCUUCUUAGGCUAGUGUCCACAAAUUUUGCAUGUACAGGUAAUCAUAUGAGGAUGUCUAGAAACACCCUUUUUUUCUGGCUUGUGAGGUGACCAAAUGAGCUUAUGGCUUUUUGGGAGGACAUCAGUCAUGUAGUCCAGGAAGGAUCUCACAAAGUCAGAUGUUGGACCGUCUACAGUUUAUAUCCACAUACCUUACUCCAUUAAAGUGUGGACAGACUUGCUUUUGUAACUUUUAUUGCAUAGAAAUGAUUUUGCUCUUGUGUUAUUUAUAAAUAUACCAGUAACUCCUAAUAGAAGAGUCACAGUAUUUUGCAAGAACAAUUCGGGUACGGUAUUAGAACUUGUACAGUAUUUUUUUUUUUUUUUUUAUUUAUUAUUAAUUUCUUUGUUAGUUUACUAACCAUUAUGUUCAAAGUAUGACAUUAACCGAAUACCCUUCAGGACCCAGUAUGUGCACCAUAUAUGAAGUUUAUUUUUUUGGUAUUGUGUCUGUUGGUGAAAUGGAGAGUUCGUAUUCUUGUGCUUUUCUUUGUAAUUUUGUUAUAGUUAGCUUCCAAAUAUAUAACAAAAUAUACUCUUGUGAUUGUUUGUGCCUUGACAGUUUUGAUGAAACGGUAAGACCUUAAAUACUGGAGGUGUGCUUAAGAUUUUCUGUGAUUUUUAAGAGCUAACGUACCUGUUCAGGAGUUGUAGAGUAUCUUGGUGAGAAUUGACCAUGAGGGAAUUGUGCAAAUAUUACUCUUUGUUAUUUUUUUUUUGCCUUUUCUGAAUCUUGUUUUUUUAUGAAUAGAGUAAGUCUAAUUUGAUUAUCUUCGAUGAGGAUGCUAUAUUGCUCAUAUUUGCAUCUGAAAGUUAUUUACAAUGACUGCUUUAAUGUUACAUGCAGAAAUAAGGGAAGAAAGAAAAGUUAUGUGAUAAAGGUUUAAUAUUUUUGAUCAGUUGUUUUAAAUCAUAUAAGUAAAUUGGUGUUGCAACAAGGAUGAAGAAAACAAAAAUUGAAUAAAAUGGGAGAGAUAGCUAAGUUACUGAAUAAAUAUUCAGGAAUUUAUAGCAUUUAUGAUACAUCAUUAAUUCAGCACUAUUGGGGAGUCAUAAAAGAACAAAAAUUGACACAUCUUUUUCCUUAUAUUUAAGGACAUGAAAUUGGAAGAGUUCAUUUAUAAUUUAAUGUAAAAUUAGUGGCAAUAUAUCCAGUCCCUUCAAAUAGUAUUUUCACUGUUUUAGUUUUGUUUUUAUUGGUAAAUUUGUUAAACUAUAUCACUGUAUUUUAUAUCUUAUUUUCAGUACUAGAUUUUUAAUGUUUUGUGUGUGUGUGCAACAUUGACUGUAAUACUGUAUGCAGCAGAAAUGUGAGCAUUGAAAAGGAAGAUGAAGAUUGUGGAAAAGGUUGAUCAUAGUGUCAGGAUUCAUAGGAAGUGAGAAAAUUGUAUUACAAGUGAAGAGCUAAUGGGGAGAUGUGUCCCAGAGGCUAGAAAAGACUCAAAUCUCAAAGACUGAGAUGGUUUAGACAUGUUGAGGUAAUGAAAUAAAAAGUUUUAUGAUGAUGUGAUUUCAUGGGAGUGGUAUAGUCACUACAGUUUUCAACAAACUAACACAUUCAUUUUAAUGGCAUAGAAAACAUUUUAGAAGUACCUGAAUAUAUUGAAUGAAUUAUAAUUGCAGAAAAA